Molecule: long non-coding RNA, 107 nt
Organism: Cebus imitator (Panamanian white-faced capuchin)
Lineage: Eukaryota; Metazoa; Chordata; Mammalia; Primates; Cebidae
Exons: 3
Source: RefSeq, a predicted model, not a curated record
CCAGGCUCCAGCUCCAGCUUCAGUUCCAGCUUAGGCUCCCAAAGGUUCCCAGGCCCCUACAAAGGCUUCAGAGUAGAUAUCUCUGCCAAUCUGAGGACAGAAGGACU